GUUCAGAAGGUUGUUAUCAUCCAUCCAGAUGGAGGAUCACUGACAGGAGCGUGGGAAGACUCCAGAAUCCACUCUGGCUGGAAUCCGGUGGAUACAGCAGUGUUACAGGUACAGUACGUGAUAUUAAGGGCAGGCGGUCAUCACUGGGGGAAGACAAGAAGCAGACGUACUUCCAAGAGGGAGCUGCAGUGAGGACACAGCCUGGUCACUGAGGUCAGAGGAGGCGCUGAAAGGUUUCCCUAAUAGUUCCUGGUGAAUCAAAGCAGAACCAUAAAGGUUGCUGGACUGCAUGAUGGCCUUACCCCUGAGCAGUCAUCCUGUUAAAGGAGGAACCAGUCAGAAGCUGUUUUCAAAGUAGCUGAGCAGAUUUCA
Molecule: long non-coding RNA, 372 nt
Organism: Pelmatolapia mariae (spotted tilapia)
Lineage: Eukaryota; Metazoa; Chordata; Actinopteri; Cichliformes; Cichlidae
Exons: 3
Source: RefSeq, a predicted model, not a curated record